RNAcentral lists this ribosomal RNA (253 nucleotides) under uncultured bacterium. RNAcentral's name for it is "partial 16S ribosomal RNA". It matches the Rfam family "Bacterial small subunit ribosomal RNA", at positions 524 to 776 of the family's 1533-position model. The record is from RNAcentral.
UACGGAGGGUGCAAGCGUUAAUAGGAUUCAUUGGGCGUAAAGAGCACGUAGGCGGAGUGGAAAGUUAGAUGUGAAAUCCCGGGGCUCAACUUCGGCCCCGCAUCUAAAACUCCUAUUCUAGAGGAUGGACGGAGAAAAGGGAAUUCCACGUGUAGCGGUGAAAUGCGUAGAUAUGUGGAAGAACACCGGUGGCGAAGGCGCCUUUCUAGUUUAUUCCUGACGCUGAGUUGCGAAAGCAAGGGGAGCAAACAGG